Molecule: transfer RNA, 72 nt
Organism: Staphylococcus sp. HGB0015
Lineage: Bacteria; Bacillati; Bacillota; Bacilli; Caryophanales; Staphylococcaceae
Rfam family: tRNA
About the family: Transfer RNA (tRNA) molecules are approximately 80 nucleotides in length. Their secondary structure includes four short double-helical elements and three loops (D, anti-codon, and T loops).
Source: Rfam
UCCACAGUAGCUCAGUGGUAGAGCUAUCGGCUGUUAACCGAUCGGUCGUAGGUUCGAGUCCUACCUGUGGAG